RNAcentral lists this long non-coding RNA (339 nucleotides) under Androctonus crassicauda. The record is from RNAcentral. Lineage: Eukaryota; Metazoa; Arthropoda; Arachnida; Scorpiones; Buthidae.
UAAUCAACAGUUCCAGUAACCGUUGAUGCUAUAAAUCUUCGCAUAUUUGUCAUCACUAUCCAGUAAACUGUGAUAAAAACGAGAAUGCCAGAAAAAAAGGAAUCCAUAUUAGAUAUGAAUGAAACUGUAAGUAAAGAUAAUGCUAGUAGUUCAAGUAGUGAUUAUCAAGGAAGUGUGGAAGAAAAGAAGGAUAAUGGAACAGAUCAACAUUCCAAUAAAAAAGAUCAGAAAAAUACAAGAAUAAUUAAAAGGAUAAUUAAAGGAUCUAAAAAAGGUAAUUAUUCUGAUCAAAUUGAAAAUAUCAGUUUUUUUCCCCUCCAUGCAAUUUUUUCUAUGCUG